AUGUAAGAGAACGAAAUAGGUGUAUAUAUUUACUUAAUAGGGAAUUUAGUUUAUGCUAAAGCUGCCCCAGCAACUGUAAAUGAUUACGAGCUAGUGUAUGCCACUGUAUUUUACGGGAAGGUUCUAGUGAGGUUUGAGUCAUAAGCCAGGAGAUCUGCCUAUUUUGCAACUGCUCU
Molecule: non-coding RNA, 176 nt
Filed under: Clostridium collagenovorans
Lineage: Bacteria; Bacillati; Bacillota; Clostridia; Eubacteriales; Clostridiaceae
Also listed under: 1 other name
Source: RNAcentral